UGACCUACGGGGCGCAGCAGUGGGGAAUAUUGCACAAUGGGGGAAACCCUGAUGCAGCGACGCCGCGUGAGUGAAGAAGUAUUUCGGUACGUAAAGCUCUAUCAGCAGGGAAGAAAAAAAGUCCUUUGGACUUUGGACGGUACCUGACCAAGAAGCCCCGGCUAACUACGUGCCAGCAGCCGCGGUAAUACGGAAGGUCCGGGCGUUAUCCGGAUUUAUUGGGUUUAAAGGGAGCGUAGGCCGGCUUUUAAGUCAGCUGUGAAAGUCCGCGUCUCAACCGUGGAAUUGCAGUUGAAAAUGGAGGC
This 305-nucleotide ribosomal RNA is filed under the name uncultured bacterium. Its description in RNAcentral is "bacterial SSU rRNA". It matches the Rfam family "Bacterial small subunit ribosomal RNA", at positions 335 to 640 of the family's 1533-position model. The record is from RNAcentral.